AUUGAACGCUGGCGGCAUGCCUUACACAUGCAAGUCGAACGGCAGCAUAGGAGCUUGCUCCUGAUGGCGAGUGGCGAACGGGUGAGUAAUAUAUCGGAACGUGCCCUAGAGUGGGGGAUAACUAGUCGAAAGACUAGCUAAUACCGCAUACGAUCUACGGAUGAAAGUGGGGGAUCGCAAGACCUCAUGCUCCUGGAGCGGCCGAUAUCUGAUUAGCUAGUUGGUGGGGUAAAAGCCUACCAAGGCGACGAUCAGUAGCUGGUCUGAGAGGACGACCAGCCACACUGGGACUGAGACACGGCCCAGACUCCUACGGGAGGCAGCAGUGGGGAAUUUUGGACAAUGGGGGCAACCCUGAUCCAGCAAUGCCGCGUGAGUGAAGAAGGCCUUCGGGUUGUAAAGCCCUUUUGUCAGGGAAGAAACGGUAGUAGCUAAUAUCUAUUACUAAUGACGGUACCUGAAGAAUAAGCACCGGCUAACUACGUGCCAGCAGCCGCGGUAAUACGUAGGGUGCAAGCGUUAAUCGGAAUUACUGGGCGUAAAGCGUGCGCAGGCGGUUGUGUAAGUCAGAUGUGAAAUCCCCGGGCUCAACCUGGGAAUUGCAUUUGAGACUGCACGGCUAGAGUGUGUCAGAGGGGGGUAGAAUUCCACGUGUAGCAGUGAAAUGCGUAGAUGUGUGGAGGAAUACCGAUGGCGAAGGCAGCCCCCUGGGAUAACACUGACGCUCAUGCACGAAAGCGUGGGGAGCAAACAGG
This 755-nucleotide ribosomal RNA is filed under the name uncultured Oxalobacteraceae bacterium. RNAcentral describes it as "bacterial SSU rRNA". It matches the Rfam family "Bacterial small subunit ribosomal RNA", at positions 28 to 776 of the family's 1533-position model. Lineage: Bacteria; Pseudomonadati; Pseudomonadota; Betaproteobacteria; Burkholderiales; Oxalobacteraceae. The record is from RNAcentral.